This 507-nucleotide long non-coding RNA is filed under the name Coccomyxa subellipsoidea. Its description in RNAcentral is "long non-coding RNA (CSUB_LNC000157)". The record is from RNAcentral. Lineage: Eukaryota; Viridiplantae; Chlorophyta; Trebouxiophyceae; Coccomyxaceae.
GAUGCUCCGGAACCCACAAGCUGUCCUUCGGUUCUUCCGACACCCCAAUGGCUGCAUAUGUGGCUGCACCACUGCCAAGAUUGCCGCGCACAAUAUAAAAGACAAGCUACAACCCAACAAAUUUCUAUGACGGGUCUCGAACGAUUCAGAUGAUCGCCUUUGAGCUGUAGCCGAAAACGCAUCCUGACAGCAUCUUUUGCAAGCAGAACCCCUUAAGUUUUCACUCGUUGCUACAUCGCCAGCUGUGGCGUUAGGUUUUUCACAUCUUUAUCUCGAAGCAGGCCUCAGAUCCUUGAAAGUAGAUGUCUCUCUGGUAAUCAGCAGUUGUGAUCUAUCAUUCAGGUGAAAGACGUUUCCUUGAUUGAGCAUAUCUUAUCUAAAUUUCAGAUGCCAGGUAUUGAAAGUGGAAAUUGAUAGCCGAUUGCUUAAUAACCAUUGAUGUAUGCAGAGGCUGUUGACACAUGCUUUUGUUCUUUUCUUGCAGACUGACGUCCUACACCUUCAACA